UUAAUUUGAGAGUUUGAUCCUGGCUCAGGACGAACGCUGGCGGCGUGCCUAAUACAUGCAAGUCGAACGAACUCUGGUAUUGAUUGGUGCUUGCAUCAUGAUUUACAUUUGAGUGAGUGGCGAACUGGUGAGUAACACGUGG
This 142-nucleotide ribosomal RNA is filed under the name Lactiplantibacillus plantarum. RNAcentral describes it as "Lactobacillus plantarum partial 16S ribosomal RNA". It matches the Rfam family "Bacterial small subunit ribosomal RNA", at positions 1 to 120 of the family's 1533-position model. The record is from RNAcentral. Lineage: Bacteria; Bacillati; Bacillota; Bacilli; Lactobacillales; Lactobacillaceae.